UGUCCUGGAGCUUGUAUUUGUGUUUCUUAAAUCACUGCGUUUCCCAGCCGCCUCGCUCCCGUCUGGCCCAGGCAGUGCUCUGAUGGGCACAGGGGCGCUGACAAGCAGCGGUGCCCCAAGUCUGUGCUUCUUGGCCGAGUCCAGGGAGGACUGGUGGUUGGCAUCUCACAGCCAGUCUCUGAAGGGAUGAGAUAGUGGGAGGCUGCCAUCUGGUUCUGAUUUGACUUUCACCCUGAGACC
Non-coding RNA from Artibeus jamaicensis (Jamaican fruit-eating bat), 240 nucleotides. RefSeq annotates it as small Cajal body-specific RNA 6. The transcript has a single exon. Lineage: Eukaryota; Metazoa; Chordata; Mammalia; Chiroptera; Phyllostomidae. The record is from RefSeq and is a predicted model, not a curated record.